AACGAACGCUGGCGGCAUGCCUAACACAUGCAAGUCGAACGAGAACUUCGGGUCUAGUGGCGCACGGGUGCGUAACGCGUGGGAACCUGCCCUUAGGUUCGGAAUAACUCCCCGAAAGGGGUGCUAAUACCGGAUAAUGUCUUCGGACCAAAGAUUUAUCGAAUUUGGAGGGGCAAGCGUUGGAUUAGCUAGUUGGUAGGGUAAAAGCUUACCAAGGCGACGAUCCAUAGCUGGUCUGAGAGGAUGAUCAGCCACACUGGGACUGAGACACGGCCCAGACUCCUACGGAAGGCAGCAGUGGGGAAUGUUGGACAAUGGGCGAAAGGCUGAUCCAGCAAUGCCGCGUGAGUGAUGAAAGCCUUAGGGUUGUAAAGCUCUUUUACCCGGGAUGAUAAUGACAGUACCGGGAGAAUAAGCUCCGGCUAACUCCGUG
This 433-nucleotide ribosomal RNA is filed under the name uncultured bacterium. Its description in RNAcentral is "partial 16S ribosomal RNA". It matches the Rfam family "Bacterial small subunit ribosomal RNA", at positions 29 to 507 of the family's 1533-position model. The record is from RNAcentral.